Molecule: ribosomal RNA, 1466 nt
Filed under: uncultured fungus
Lineage: Eukaryota; Fungi
Description: eukaryotic LSU rRNA
Rfam family: Eukaryotic large subunit ribosomal RNA (bases 756-1466)
Source: RNAcentral
AAGUCGUAACAAGGUUUCCGUAGGUGAACCUGCGGAAGGAUCAUUCAUGAUUCAGGCUUCAAGCCUGCUCAUUUUUACCAGUGAAACAUUUUUUUCUGGGCGGCGGUUAAACCUUAAAUAACCAGGUUUAGGCCAGGUUUCCGCCCAGAAGUACCAUGCCUGUAGGAACGUCUCUACUACAGGAAUAGGAGCACACGUUACCUGAACGUCUCUAGGGUAACGAACACCAGGAUGAACGUCUCUAAUCCUGGGAUAAAGCUUAACUGUAUUCUGCUUUUAACCUAUUUGGUACUUUCAACCUGUGUCUAGCAUUGAUAUUUUUAAUUCUAGACCAGGUUAGGUAGUUAAUUAGCCUGAACGACUAUAAGGCUUAAUUAUCUGCUCCCAGGACGAACGUCUCUAGUCCUGGUUCAUUUACCUAAUAUCAUCAUGUCUAAGGUCUCGAUAAAAGUAAAACUUUUAGCAACGGAUCUCUAGGCUCUCAUUUCGAUGAAGAACGCAGCAAAAUGCGAUAAGUAGUGUGAAUUGCUGAUUCUCGAGAAUCAUUGAAUCUUUGAACGCCAAGUGCACUUCCUGGUAUUCCAGGGAGUAUGCCUGUUUCAGUGUCUAUAAAUUUUCACCCUAGUGUGGUUAUGGGUUCGCCUAGCUUAGGCUUGCCUAAAAUAGUAGGAUCUAUAGAUUUAUCUCCUUACCUUUACUGGUGGAAUUUUCCUUACAUCAAGCUACCUUAAGCAGCCUGCUUAUAUUUAGUUUUACGACCUGAAAUCAAGCAGAGUACCCGCUGAACUUAAGCAUAUUAAUAAGCGGAGGAAAAGAAACUAACAAGGAUUCCCUUAGUAGCGGCGAGCGAAACGGGAAUAGUUCAAAUUUAAAAUCAACCUCGUGUUGAAUUGUAGUUUGUAGAGGUGUUUUCACCAGGUGUGGUUGGUUCAAGUCCCUUGGAACAGGGCGCCAGAGAGGGUGAUAGCCCCUUAAUUCCAAUUUAUCCUGCCUUGAUACACUUUCAAAGAGUCGGGUUGUUUGGGAAUGCAACCCUAAAUGGGUGGUAAAUUUCAUCUAAAGCUAAAUAUAAAUGAGAGCCCGAUAGCAAACAAGUACCGUGAGGGAAAGAUGAAAAGAACUUUGAAAAGAGAGUUCAAUAGUACGUGAAAUUGCUAAAAGGGAAACACUGGAAACCAGUGUAGUUAAGGCCUAUUCAACCUGGCAGUUUGCCUGGUGUAUUUGGGGCUAACAUGUCAACAUCAUUUUUGGAGGUUAGAAAAUUACAAAGGCAGGUAGUUGGGCAACCAGCUUUAAGCCUAGUAUCAUCUGACCCCUGGGAGUGAGGCCUGCAAUGGAAAUUUGGGAUUCUAGGGUCCUUGUGAUUAUGCUAGGUGUUUCUGCCUGCAGAAAUGUCUGGUGUGGUUGCCUGUCGCUCUGGAUUACCACAUCCAUUACGGAUGUUGACAAAAUGGUUUUCAAUGACC